ACGCUGGCGGCGUGCCUAACACAUGCAAGUCGAACGAGAAUCUGCGGAAAGAGGAUUCGUCCAAUUGAAACAGAGGACAGUGGCGGACGGGUGAGUAACGCGUGAGGAACCUGCCUUUCAGAGGGGGACAACAGUUGGAAACGACUGCUAAUACCGCAUGACACAUUGAGGUCGCAUGGCCUUAAUGUCAAAGAUUUAUCGCUGAAAGAUGGCCUCGCGUCUGAUUAGCUAGUUGGUGAGGUAACGGCCCACCAAGGCGACGAUCAGUAGCCGGACUGAGAGGUUGAACGGCCACAUUGGGACUGAGAUACGGCCCAGACUCCUACGGGAGGCAGCAGUGGGGAAUAUUGGGCAAUGGGCGCAAGCCUGACCCAGCAACGCCGCGUGAAGGAAGAAGGCUUUCGGGUUGUAAACUUCUUUUGUCAGGGACGAGUAGAAGACGGUACCUGACGAAUAAGCCACGGCUAACUACGUG
This 475-nucleotide ribosomal RNA is filed under the name uncultured bacterium. Its description in RNAcentral is "bacterial SSU rRNA". It matches the Rfam family "Bacterial small subunit ribosomal RNA", at positions 33 to 507 of the family's 1533-position model. The record is from RNAcentral.